Molecule: ribosomal RNA, 264 nt
Filed under: uncultured bacterium
Lineage: Bacteria
Description: partial 16S ribosomal RNA
Rfam family: Bacterial small subunit ribosomal RNA
Source: RNAcentral
UUGGCGGACGGGUGGAGUAACGACGUGGAAAACCUAGCCGUAUACUGGGGGAGUAACAACUUAGAAAUAAGUGCUAAUACCGCAUAAGCGCACAGCUUCGCAUGAAGCGGUGUGAAAAACUCUGGUGGUAUACGAUGGUUCCGCGUCUGAUUAGCUAGUUGGUGGGGUAAUGGCCUACCAAGGCAACGAUCAGUAGCCGGCCUGAGAGGGUGAACGGCCACAUUGGGACUGAGACACGGCCCAAACUCCUACGGAAGGCAGCAG